This is a non-coding RNA of Triticum aestivum (bread wheat), 119 nucleotides long. The record is from Rfam. NCBI's taxonomy places the organism in Eukaryota, Viridiplantae, Streptophyta, Magnoliopsida, Poales, Poaceae.
CAACUACUCCCUCUGUCCCAAAUUUCUUGUCUUAGAUUUGUCUAGAUACGGAUGUAUCCUUGAUACAUCCGUAUCUAGACAAAUCUAAGACAAGAAUUUUGGGACGGAGGGAGUACUUU